RNAcentral lists this ribosomal RNA (120 nucleotides) under uncultured bacterium. RNAcentral's name for it is "partial 16S ribosomal RNA". It matches the Rfam family "Bacterial small subunit ribosomal RNA", at positions 1364 to 1482 of the family's 1533-position model. The record is from RNAcentral.
AACUACGUUCCCGGGCCUUGUACACACCGCCCGUCACACCACGAAAGUCGGCAACACCCGAAGCCGGUGGCCUAACCCGUAAGGGAGGAGCCGUCGAAGGUGGGGUCGGUGAUUGGGGUG